This 446-nucleotide ribosomal RNA is filed under the name uncultured bacterium. Its description in RNAcentral is "partial 16S ribosomal RNA". It matches the Rfam family "Bacterial small subunit ribosomal RNA", at positions 338 to 795 of the family's 1533-position model. The record is from RNAcentral.
CCUACGGUGGACUGCAGUCGAGAAUCAUUCACAAUGGGGGAAACCCUGAUGGUGCGACGCCGCGUGGGGGAAUGAAGGUCUUCGGAUUGUAAACCCCUGUCAUGUGGGAGCAAAUUAAAAAGAUAGUACCACAAGAGGAAGAGACGGCUAACUCUGGGCCAGCAGCCGCGGUAAUACAGAGGUCUCAAGCGUUGUUCGGAAUCACUGGGCGUAAAGCGUGCGUAGGCUGUUUCGUAAGUCGUGUGUGAAAGGCGCGGGCUCAACCCGCGGACGGCACAUGAUACUGCGAGACUAGAGUAAUGGAGGGGGAACCGGAAUUCUCGGUGUAGCAGUGAAAUGCGUAGAUAUCGAGAGGAACACUCGUGGCGAAGGCGGGUUCCUGGACAUUAACUGACGCUGAGGCACGAAGGCCAGGGGAGCGAAAGGGAUUAGAUACCCCAGUAGUC